AGCUCUUCAGUCUUCCUAGCCCAGGUGCCUUCUGUCACUAAGAGUUACUGCCUCAAGUUACCGCACAGAAAUCUUUAUCUUAAAUGAUAAAAAGAAAAAAACCAAAAAGCCUGAACUUUUCAUUUGUCUUUCAGCAUUUUAUAGCUUCUAAUAAAUUCCUAGCACAUACUUAGUGAAAAGAACAUAUACCUCUUUCACCAUCUUUUAGACAGCCUUUCAACUCAGCUUUGCUUCCACUUUUGAGUGUGAUUACAGUAUACAGCAUACACUGACAUAACUUCAUGACCGGUUAAAACAAUAAUGCAAGCUGAAAGUAGUAUAUUGGUGACAGCAUAUGAUCAAUUUACUCAAUGCAACACAUGUCAGAAAAAAAUAAGGCUGAGCAGCAAGCCUGCCACAGAAAUCUUGACUUCAGAGCUGCUGAGCAUGAGGGCACAUCACUGCAGAGGCCUGGUCUCAUGUCAGGCCCUGCCUUAGUAUGACAGGGCAGCUGGUGGUCACCAAGAUCAGGUAGAACUUUGCACAGCAAUACAAAUGUGACUGUUCCUUGUCUUCUUUUCAGUGCAUUCAAACACUGGUCUAACUCCUGUACAAAAAUAAAAGCAGCACUGGCAUUUAAAUGGGUAUUUUUAUCUACUUUAAACUUUGCCUUACACUUGUAUAAGUAUCCAUCUCCCUAGCACAAACUAAUGCAAACCAACUUUCAAGACAACCUUGAGAUAAUACAUGAAAUAGAAAAGAUGAAGAUCGAAAGGAAAAGAUCACUUGGAUAUAAGCAGGUAAGGUAGAAACAUUUUAAUACACAAAGACUGAGUUUUCUCUGCAUGAGAAGCUUCUGUCAUUUACAAGCUCUUUAUAGUCAUUUAUGAGGUGCAGCAUUCCAGAACCAUUCAGGUUGAAAGACACCUCUGGAGGUUAUCUAGUCCAACCCCCUAUUCAGAGCAAGGCUAACUUCAAAGCUAGAUCAGGAUGCCCAAGGCCUUGCUCAGUUCACCUUUCAAAACCUCUAAGGACGAUGAUACACAACCUCUCUGAGCAACCUACUCCAGUGCUCAGCGCUCCCACUGUGACAUCUUCAGCUUUGUCUAAAAUCAUUGCUUCUUAUUCAGGAAGAAAGAGGUGAAAAGGUGGCUUCAGGAAUGCACUAUUGAAGGCCAAGUCCAUACAGGAGAAAGAUAUACAUUUCUUCUCGUGAAAAACAGUAUUUGUUUCUCUAGUUGCAAAGUGCCAUUAAAAGAUUCUUCCACCUGGAA
Molecule: long non-coding RNA, 1253 nt
Organism: Numida meleagris (helmeted guineafowl)
Lineage: Eukaryota; Metazoa; Chordata; Aves; Galliformes; Numididae
Exons: 3
Source: RefSeq, a predicted model, not a curated record